Molecule: ribosomal RNA, 460 nt
Filed under: uncultured bacterium
Lineage: Bacteria
Description: partial 16S ribosomal RNA
Rfam family: Bacterial small subunit ribosomal RNA
Source: RNAcentral
CCUACGGGAGGCAGCAGUGAGGAAUAUUGGUCAAUGGACGAGAGUCUGAACCAGCCAAGUAGCGUGAAGGAUGACUGCCCUAUGGGUUGUAAACUUCUUUUAUAUGGGAAUAAAAUGUUCCACGUGUGGGAUUUUGUAUGUACCAUAUGAAUAAGGAUCGGCUAACUCCGUGCCAGCAGCCGCGGUAAUACGGAGGAUACGAGCGUUAUCCGGAUUUAUUGGGUUUAAAGGGAGCGUAGGUGGAUUGUUAAGUCAGUUGUGAAAGUUUGCGGCUAAACCGUAAAAUUGCAGUUGAAACUGGCAGUCUUGAGUACAGUAGAGGUGGGCGGAAUUCGUGGUGUAGCGGUGAAAUGCUUAGAUAUCACGAAGAACUCCGAUUGCGAAGGCAGUUCACUGGACUGCAACUGACACUGAGGCUCGAAAGUGUGGGUAUCAAACAGGAUUAGAUACCCCUGUAGUC